CACGUAGGCGGACUUUCAAGUCAGGGGUGAAAUCCCGGAGCUCAACUUCGGAAUUGCCUUUGAUACUGUUGGUCUCGAGUCCGGAAGAGGUGGGUGGAAUUCCUAGUGUAGAGGUGAAAUCCGUAGAUAUUAGGAAGAACACCGGUGGCGAAGGCGGCCCACUGGUCCAGUACUGACGCUGAGGUGCGAAAGCGUGGGGAGAAAC
This 205-nucleotide ribosomal RNA is filed under the name uncultured bacterium. RNAcentral's name for it is "partial 16S ribosomal RNA". It matches the Rfam family "Bacterial small subunit ribosomal RNA", at positions 568 to 772 of the family's 1533-position model. The record is from RNAcentral.